This 700-nucleotide ribosomal RNA is filed under the name uncultured bacterium. Its description in RNAcentral is "bacterial SSU rRNA". It matches the Rfam family "Bacterial small subunit ribosomal RNA", at positions 62 to 753 of the family's 1533-position model. The record is from RNAcentral.
UCGAGCGGUAGCACAGAGAGCUUGCUCUCGGGUGACGAGCGGCGGACGGGUGAGUAAUGUCUGGGAAACUGCCUGAUGGAGGGGGAUAACUACUGGAAACGGUGGCUAAUACCGCAUAAUGUCGCAAGACCAAAGUGGGGGACCUUCGGGCCUCAUGCCAUCAGAUGUGCCCAGAUGGGAUUAGCUAGUAGGUGGGGUAACGGCUCACCUAGGCGACGAUCCCUAGCUGGUCUGAGAGGAUGACCAGCCACACUGGAACUGAGACACGGUCCAGACUCCUACGGGAGGCAGCAGUGGGGAAUAUUGCACAAUGGGCGCAAGCCUGAUGCAGCCAUGCCGCGUGUAUGAAGAAGGCCUUCGGGUUGUAAAGUACUUUCAGCGGGGAGGAAGGGAGUAAAGUUAAUACCUUUGCUCAUUGACGUUACCCGCAGAAGAAGCACCGGCUAACUCCGUGCCAGCAGCCGCGGUAAUACGGAGGGUGCAAGCGUUAAUCGGAAUUACUGGGCGUAAAGCGCACGCAGGCGGUUUGUUAAGUCAGAUGUGAAAUCCCCGGGCUCAACCUGGGAACUGCAUCUGAUACUGGCAAGCUUGAGUCUCGUAGAGGGGGGUAGAAUUCCAGGUGUAGCGGUGAAAUGCGUAGAGAUCUGGAGGAAUACCGGUGGCGAAGGCGGCCCCCUGGACGAAGACUGACGCUCAGGUG